GGGUAAAGGCCCACCAAGGCGACGAUCGGUAGCCGGACUGAGAGGUUGAACGGCCACAUUGGGACUGAGACACGGCCCAGACUCCUACGGGAGGCAGCAGUGGGGGAUAUUGCACAAUGGGGGAAACCCUGAUGCAGCAACGCCGCGUGAGUGACGAAGGUCUUCGGAUUGUAAAACUCUGUUCUUGGUGAAGAUAAUGACGGUAGCCAAGGAGAAAGCUCCGGCUAACUAC
This 232-nucleotide ribosomal RNA is filed under the name uncultured bacterium. RNAcentral describes it as "partial 16S ribosomal RNA". It matches the Rfam family "Bacterial small subunit ribosomal RNA", at positions 255 to 504 of the family's 1533-position model. The record is from RNAcentral.